RNAcentral lists this ribosomal RNA (449 nucleotides) under uncultured bacterium. Its description in RNAcentral is "partial 16S ribosomal RNA". It matches the Rfam family "Bacterial small subunit ribosomal RNA", at positions 29 to 523 of the family's 1533-position model. The record is from RNAcentral.
AGCGAACGCUGGCGGCAUGCCUAACACAUGCAAGUCGAACGAGACCUUCGGGUCUAGUGGCGCACGGGUGCGUAACGCGUGGGAAUCUACCCUUGGGUUCGGAAUAACAGUUAGAAAUGACUGCUAAUACCGGAUGAUGACGUAAGUCCAAAGAUUUAUCGCCCAAGGAUGAGCCCGCGUAGGAUUAGCUUGUUGGUGGGGUAAUGGCCUACCAAGGCGACGAUCUUUAGCUGGUCUGGGAGGAUGAUCAGCCACACUGGGACUGAGACACGGCCAAGACUCCUACGGGAGGCAGCAGUGGGGAAUAUUGAACAAUGGGCGAAAGCCUGAUCCAGCAAUGCCGCGUGAGUGAUGAAGGCCUUAGGGUUGUAAAGCUCUUUUACCAGGGAUGAUAAUGACAGUACCUGGAGAAUAAGCUCCGGCUAACUCCGUGCCAGCAGCCGCCGUAA